UUCUGUAUAGACUCGAAGGUGCAUAGUU
This 28-nucleotide small RNA is filed under the name Bombyx mori (domestic silkworm). RNAcentral describes it as "piRNA piR-bmo-1721541". The record is from RNAcentral. Lineage: Eukaryota; Metazoa; Arthropoda; Insecta; Lepidoptera; Bombycidae.